GCAUUUGCAUGUUGCGGAGUGAUUAGUGGGUUUGAAAAGCGAACCGUGGCUCGGCCUCAUUUCCCGCUCUGGUUCAGGCGCAGGAGGAAGUGUUUUGCUGGAGGAUGAUGACAGAGGUCAGGCUUCGCUAAUGGGCCAGUGAGGAGCGGUGGAGGCGAGGCCGGGCGCCGGCACACACACAUUAACACACUUGAGCCAUCACCAAUCAGCAUAGGAAUCUGAGAAUUGCUCUCACACACCAACCCUGCAACAUCCGUGGAGAAAACUCUCAGCAGCAACUCCUUUAAAAUACCGUCAUUUCAAACCAUUGUGGUCUUUAAGCAACAACAGCAGCACAAAAAACCCCAACCAAACAAAACUCUUGACAGAAGCUGUGACAACCAGAGAGGAUGCCUCAUAAAGGGGGAAGACUUUAACUAGGGGCGCGCAGAUGUGUGAGGCCUUUUAUUGUGAGAGUGGACAGACAUCCGAGAUUUCAGAGCCCCAUAUUCGAGCCCCGUGGAAUCCCGCGGCCCCCAGCCAGAGCCAGCAUGCAGAACAGUCACAGCGGAGUGAAUCAGCUCGGUGGUGUCUUUGUCAACGGGCGGCCACUGCCGGACUCCACCCGGCAGAAGAUUGUAGAGCUAGCUCACAGCGGGGCCCGGCCGUGCGACAUUUCCCGAAUUCUGCAGGUGUCCAACGGAUGUGUGAGUAAAAUUCUGGGCAGGUAUUACGAGACUGGCUCCAUCAGACCCAGGGCAAUCGGUGGUAGUAAACCGAGAGUAGCGACUCCAGAAGUUGUAAGCAAAAUAGCCCAGUAUAAGCGGGAGUGCCCGUCCAUCUUUGCUUGGGAAAUCCGAGACAGAUUACUGUCCGAGGGGGUCUGUACCAACGAUAACAUACCAAGUGUGUCAUCAAUAAACAGAGUUCUUCGCAACCUGGCUAGCGAAAAGCAACAGAUGGGCGCAGACGGCAUGUAUGAUAAACUAAGGAUGUUGAACGGGCAGACCGGAAGCUGGGGCACCCGCCCUGGUUGGUAUCCGGGGACUUCGGUGCCAGGGCAACCUACGCAAGAUGGCUGCCAGCAACAGGAAGGAGGGGGAGAGAAUACCAACUCCAUCAGUUCCAAUGGAGAAGAUUCAGAUGAGGCUCAAAUGCGACUUCAGCUGAAGCGGAAGCUGCAAAGAAAUAGAACAUCCUUUACCCAAGAGCAAAUUGAGGCCCUGGAGAAAGAGUUUGAGAGAACCCAUUAUCCAGAUGUGUUUGCCCGAGAAAGACUAGCAGCCAAAAUAGAUCUACCUGAAGCAAGAAUACAGGUAUGGUUUUCUAAUCGAAGGGCCAAAUGGAGAAGAGAAGAAAAACUGAGGAAUCAGAGAAGACAGGCCAGCAACACACCUAGUCAUAUUCCUAUCAGCAGUAGUUUCAGCACCAGUGUCUACCAACCAAUUCCACAACCCACCACACCUGUUUCCUCCUUCACAUCUGGCUCCAUGUUGGGCCGAACAGACACAGCCCUCACAAACACCUACAGCGCUCUGCCGCCUAUGCCCAGCUUCACCAUGGCAAAUAACCUGCCUAUGCAAGUAAGUGCAGCUGGUGGUGGCCUGCACAAUCCAGGCCCCAGAGAAGUGAGGAGUGGCUCAAGGCCUGUGGACCUCAUUGGCUGUGUCUGCACCCUUGAGAGCUUUUUGCACUACAGUGAUUGGUUUGACCAGUCAAGUCGGAGACAGUCAAUCCCAUCACUUUUAAGUGAUUGACUCAUUAAUUCAUGCCCUAAAAAAAUUAGUAAUAAAAAUCUGUCCAGUUUUGUCAAGUUGAUCUGCCUUUUAUUAUACUGUUACCUUGAUAAUGUUGGGUGGUGGUGGGGCAUGUUUUGGGUAGCAGGGAGCCUUGCACCAGAAAGUGGAAAUAAUGCUGGCACAUUAUCAGAUAGCAGAUUAGUAGUUUAAAAUUUGGGUUUAUAUUAAUGUGUUUGUAUGCUAAAUAUACAAUCUGUGCGUGCAUUUGGGGCAUUACUUUGGAUAUAUGUGAUAAACUAGUGAGAAAGAAAAAAAGGAUCGGAAAUGGGAUUCAUAUUUACAUGGUGAGAUAUACAUAAUAUAAUGAGAAUGCUAGUUUUCUGUCUGUAUCUACAAUAAGAAAAGGCACAGCAGGUAUUUGCCGGAAAUUUAGUGUGUCUUUGCUGUGAAUGGUGUGAUGAGUUUGUGGCCCUCCUAGCUGCCUGGGAAGCUUGAUGCUAUUCACUUGGUAUGACAGCCUGCCUCUCCUCUUAGUUCUGUCCCAAAUAUCUAUUAGCCCCUACAUUUAGAGGUCCUGCACUAGGUUCACCCUUUAUGAUGUAAGUUGGAUAAGGCAGAUGGUUUGUACUAGACCUUUGUUGCUGGAUGGAUUCUUGAUAGGAAAAAUGUCCAUCUUCUGGUAGGCCUUUCCCGGUGGUUUUCCUAGAACUCCCGUUUGUGCAACAAUUAGAGAUAUUAGAUGGUACGAUAUUGGGCAGCAUGAGCCUCUGCUGGAAACAGUUCUGGGGCUACACUGAUUGUUUAUUCUCCAUUGAACAUUUUUUGCUGGAUUUCAAAUCCAAAUAACAGCAAAAUAAAUGUUUCACAGUCUUCAGACUAAUACAGGAGCAGCUAGAUAAGCAACUUCAGAGGAAUUAUUCAUGUUUAUUUUUAUUGCAUCUGGAUAUUAUUGGCCAUAGUACAAUUGAUGUAAAUUAAGGGAUUAACAGCCCAUUAGUUGGUGUUGCUAUAACUGCGUUGGAAUUUUCCAGAAGUCAGGUUGCCUAGAGGAAGUCAUUGCAGGAAUUAGAAACAAAUGCAAGCUGAAAUUCUGGCAGGGCCCUCAAGGCCUGUUUGCCUCUUUGAACUUGAUGAUAGCAUUCAUCAUCUGACUUUAAUAAGGCCACAGAGUGUCUUGUUCAGUUUCAUAUAUUGUAACAACAUCCAGGUUUCUGUGAAGAUAGAUAGCAAAAUGUGUAUGUGAGAAAAUAAUAAGACGAACAUGUAGAUGCUGCAAUUAUAUUAGGGCUGUUUCCACAUACAUACCGGUGUGGGGAAUCAAUCUAUUUCAAACACUGACUUUAAAAAAUUACAUAAUUUGUAUAAUUCAAAAAGUACAUGCAUUCAUUAAGCAUAAAGAAAAUCAAAAUGAUCAAUAACUUUACUCUUCAGAGAAAACUACUCUUUGAAUUUUGGAGUGGGUGAGCCCAUUUGUCUAUCCCUUUAUUCAUUCUCUUGACCAAAAUCAUCAUUUUACCAAUGGUGGGUGUCUUCCUCUGAACCUUCUCUGAUAUGCUUCCCUCUCUGAGCAUACGGAUUUUGGAAAUUAAACAUUUCUCCAGUUUGCAGAGAAGAGAAAUGAUAGUAUACUGUACUAUCAUCUGACCUGCUUGUUCCCGACACACUUCUUUUAAUUCAUCCCAAGUUUGCUGCCAUGGCAUAGUACCAUGAGAGCUCAUGAGGCGUUUUGUUAGGAGAAAGGUUUACCUCCUCAGUGCUGCCAUUUCGAACAGUUCGAGGGUAGCAACAGUUUUCUAGUUAUAAGUCAGUCUGGGCUUUUGGGUCUGUUAAGAAGUCAUGGUUAAUUCUCAGGAUGGAGGUGGGUUACAUUUACUAACUCAAUCUGGGGUUUGGGUCUAUUAGGAAGUCAUGGUUAAUUCUCAGGAUGGGGGUGGUUAUAUUUACUAACACUUCUGAUCACUUUAACUUGGGGUCAUUACAGAUCUGCUUCUUCAAAGAAUCUUUAAUCCCAUGAGUGAAAGGUUCCCAAGGUCCCUGAACCAUACUUUACUGAGAGCUCCUCCCACUGCUCUCUGUCCCAAAGCUUGAGAUAUGGGCUCUGGGGGUCACAGGGUUCCCAAAUAAAUCCAGAUUUGCAGGGAGAGGGGAUGUGUUUUGAUGAAGGUCCUCAUGCUAUAGGUUCUUCAAAGAUGCCAGCAGAGGUUAGAGACAAAAAUCCUAUUAAUUUAUGGAUAGUGGCAACCAUCUAGCUGGACAGUUGUCAGAACCUACAGUGCUUUAGAGACUUCAUACAUAGGCAACCUUCUUCUAGCUGUGGCCAGUGGAAGGACUAGCUCGCGGCCCAAUCUUAGAUUUAUCAUAUGGAAUUCCAGUACUUCACGUGAAGGCAUCUUUAAUGAUCAGACUUGUUGGCAGAGUUCCUCGGGAGGAGGGAGCCUGGGGCUGUGGCUGUGUGAUGUGUUCCUCAGUAACCACAGGUUUGCCUCUCUCCUCACAGCCCCCAGUCCCCAGCCAGACCUCCUCAUACUCCUGCAUGCUGCCCACCAGCCCUUCGGUGAAUGGGCGGAGUUAUGAUACCUACACCCCCCCACAUAUGCAGACACACAUGAACAGUCAGCCAAUGGGCACCUCGGGCACCACUUCAACAGGACUCAUUUCCCCUGGUGUGUCAGUUCCAGUUCAAGUUCCUGGAAGUGAACCUGAUAUGUCUCAAUACUGGCCAAGAUUACAGUAAAAAAAAAAAAAAAAAAAAAAAA
Molecule: small RNA, 4474 nt
Filed under: Pongo abelii (Sumatran orangutan)
Lineage: Eukaryota; Metazoa; Chordata; Mammalia; Primates; Hominidae
Description: retained intron
Source: RNAcentral